Molecule: ribosomal RNA, 490 nt
Filed under: Escherichia coli
Lineage: Bacteria; Pseudomonadati; Pseudomonadota; Gammaproteobacteria; Enterobacterales; Enterobacteriaceae
Also listed under: 1 other name
Description: bacterial SSU rRNA
Rfam family: Bacterial small subunit ribosomal RNA
Source: RNAcentral
CUGAGAGGAUGACCAGCCACACUGGAACUGAGACACGGUCCAGACUCCUACGGGAGGCAGCAGUGGGGAAUAUUGCACAAUGGGCGCAAGCCUGAUGCAGCCAUGCCGCGUGUAUGAAGAAGGCCUUCGGGUUGUAAAGUACUUUCAGCGGGGAGGAAGGGAGUAAAGUUAAUACCUUUGCUCAUUGACGUUACCCGCAGAAGAAGCACCGGCUAACUCCGUGCCAGCAGCCGCGGUAAUACGGAGGGUGCAAGCGUUAAUCGGAAUUACUGGGCGUAAAGCGCACGCAGGCGGUUUGUUAAGUCAGAUGUGAAAUCCCCGGGCUCAACCUGGGAACUGCAUCUGAUACUGGCAAGCUUGAGUCUCGUAGAGGGGGGUAGAAUUCCAGGUGUAGCGGUGAAAUGCGUAGAGAUCUGGAGGAAUACCGGUGGCGAAGGCGGCCCCCUGGACGAAGACUGACGCUCAGGUGCGAAAGCGUGGGGAGCAAACA